GUGGCCGGGAGAGGCAGCCGUGCCCGGGCUGGCGCUGUCGAAGUUGACCUGGAAAGGCACGUCAGAGAGGGUGAGAGCCCCGUGCGCGACACCGCCGGGCCGGGUUGCUACUGUCUUCGGAGAGUCGGGUUGUUUGGGAUUGCAGCCCAAAGUGGGUGGUAAACUCCAUCUAAAGCUAAAUACUGGCACGAGACCGAUAGCGAACAAGUACCGUGAGGGAAAGGUGAAAAGUACUUUGAAAAGAGAGUCAAAAAGACCGCGAAACCGUUAGGAGGGAAACGAAUGCGGCUGAAGUGGUUCCCCGUCAGGCUCAGGAGGCGUCGUCGGGUCUCGCGGGUGGCGGUUGAUUCCGCGUCCGCGAGGCGCCCGUCGACCUCUCUGCACUUCUGCGGGGGGCCGGCCAACGUCAGUUGCUCCCGGCCCAGAAGGGCGUCGCGGGAAGGUGGCUCCGUGCGCACGCGCGGAGAACUUAUAGCCCGGCGUCAGCUAGGCGCUCCGGGGGCGACUGAGGAGAGUUGCGAGUUUCGCACGUUGCGGCGCAGGCCCCUCGGGGCUGGGCCGCUCUCCGUCGGGGGGAGUCCGAGGCUUUCACUGCCCGCAGUGGGGACUUACGGCGCUCUCUCCCGCGGGGAGGUCGGUCGCACCUUGCGUCGCGGUCGUUGGUGCCCGGAUGGCCGCAUCCGACCCGUCUUGAAACACGGACCAAGGAGUGCAACAUGCGUGCGAGUCCGCGGGUGGCAAAC
RNAcentral lists this ribosomal RNA (743 nucleotides) under Tedania sp. 1 JV-2020. RNAcentral describes it as "partial large subunit ribosomal RNA". It matches the Rfam family "Eukaryotic large subunit ribosomal RNA", at positions 145 to 707 of the family's 3401-position model. Lineage: Eukaryota; Metazoa; Porifera; Demospongiae; Poecilosclerida; Tedaniidae. The record is from RNAcentral.